UACGGAGGGUGCAAGCGUUAUCCGGAUUUACCGGGUUUAAAGGGUGCGUAGGUGGAUAAGUAAGUCAGUGGUGAAAGCUCCGAGCUUAACUCGGAAACUGCCAUUGAUACUGCUCAUCUUGAAUAUUGUGGAGGUUGGCGGAAUGUGUCAUGUAGUGGUGAAAUACUUAGAUAUGACACAGAACACCGAUUGCGAAGGCAGCUGGCUACACAAUUAUUGACACUGAGGCACGAAAGCGUGGGGAUCAAACAGG
This 253-nucleotide ribosomal RNA is filed under the name uncultured bacterium. RNAcentral's name for it is "partial 16S ribosomal RNA". It matches the Rfam family "Bacterial small subunit ribosomal RNA", at positions 524 to 776 of the family's 1533-position model. The record is from RNAcentral.